UGCAGUCGAGGGGUAACAGAGAGUGCUUGCACUCUGCUGACGACCGGCGCACGGGUGAGCCCGCGUAUGCAACCUACCUUUUACAGGGGAAUAGCCCAGAGAAAUUUGGAUUAAUACCCCAUAUUAUCUUUUUUUCGCAUGAAUUAGAGAUGAAAGUUUCGACGGUAAAAGAUGGGCAUGCGCCCUAUUAGUUUGUUGGUAAGGUAAUGGCUUACCAAGACUUCGAUAGGUAGGGGCCCUGAGAGGGGGACCCCCCACACUGGUACUGAGACACGGACCAGACUCCUACGGGAGGCAGCAGUGAGGAAUAUUGGACAAUGGAGGAAACUCUGAUCCAGCCAUGCCGCGUGCAGGAUGAAUGCCCUAUGGGUUGUAAACUGCUUUUAUACAGGAAGAAACAUUUCCACGUGUGGAAACUUGACGGUACUGUAAGAAUAAGGAUCGGCUAACUCCGUGCCAGCAGCCGCGGUAAUACGGAGGAUCCAAGCGUUAUCCGGAAUUAUUGGGUUUAAAGGGUCCGUAGGUGGUUAUUUAAGUCAGAGGUGAAAUCCUGCCGCUUAACGGUAGAACUGCCUUUGAUACUGAUUAACUUGAGUUAUUGUGAAGUAGUUAGAAUAUGUAGUGUAGCGGUGAAAUGCAUAGAUAUUACAUAGAAUACCGAUUGCGAAGGCAGAUUACUAACAAUAUACUGACACUGAGGGACGAAAGCGUGGGUAGCGAACAGGAUUAGAUACCCUGGUAGUCCACGCCGUAAACGAUGGUCACUAGCUGUCUGAUUAACAUUGGUUAAUUGAGUGGCUAAGCGAAAGUGAUAAGUGACCCACCUGGGGAGUACGCUCGCAAGAGUGAAACUCAAAGGAAUUGAC
RNAcentral lists this ribosomal RNA (866 nucleotides) under uncultured Flavobacteriaceae bacterium. RNAcentral's name for it is "bacterial SSU rRNA". It matches the Rfam family "Bacterial small subunit ribosomal RNA", at positions 56 to 914 of the family's 1533-position model. The record is from RNAcentral. Lineage: Bacteria; Pseudomonadati; Bacteroidota; Flavobacteriia; Flavobacteriales; Flavobacteriaceae.